GUAGGGAAUAUUGGACAAUGGGGGGAACCCUGAUCCAGCCAUGCCGCGUGGAGGAAGACUGCCCUCUGGGUUGUAAACUCCUUUUAUAUGGGAAGAACCGUCCUCAUUAAUGAGUGACCUGACGGUACCAUAGGAAUAAGCACCGGCUAACUCCGUGCCAGCAGCCGCGGUAAUACGGAGGGUGCAAGCGUUAUCCGGAUUCACUGGGUUUAAAGGGUGCGUAGGCGGUUUUAUAAGUCAGUGGUGAAAUCAACGGGCUCAACCUGUUAACUGCCAUUGAUACUGUAGGACUUGAAUAUGAGAGAGGUAGGCGGAAUGUUGCAUGUAGCGGUGAAAUGCUUAGAUAUGCUACGGAACACCGAUUGCGAAGGCAGCUUACUAUUUCGUAAUUGACGCUGAGGCACGAAAGCGUGGGUAGCGAACAGGAUUAGAAACCCCGGUAGUCC
RNAcentral lists this ribosomal RNA (446 nucleotides) under uncultured bacterium. RNAcentral describes it as "partial 16S ribosomal RNA". It matches the Rfam family "Bacterial small subunit ribosomal RNA", at positions 354 to 796 of the family's 1533-position model. The record is from RNAcentral.